Molecule: small RNA, 28 nt
Filed under: Bombyx mori (domestic silkworm)
Lineage: Eukaryota; Metazoa; Arthropoda; Insecta; Lepidoptera; Bombycidae
Description: ovarian small RNA-26506
Source: RNAcentral
UCCAACCUUGGCACAGUCAGCCGUUGCC